UACGUAGGGGGCAAGCGUUGUCCGGAUUUACUGGGCGUAAAGAGCGCGCAGGCGGUCGUUCAAGUCGCGUGUGAAAGCCCCCGGCUCAACUGGGGAGGGUCACGCGAUACUGAUCGACUCGAAGGCAGGAGAGGGAAGUGGAAUUCCCGGUGUAGUGGUGAAAUGCGUAGAUAUCGGGAGGAACACCGGUGGCGAAGGCGGCAUCCUGGACCGGCAUUGACGCUGAGGCGCGAAAGCCAGGGGAGCAAACGGG
Molecule: ribosomal RNA, 253 nt
Filed under: uncultured bacterium
Lineage: Bacteria
Description: partial 16S ribosomal RNA
Rfam family: Bacterial small subunit ribosomal RNA
Source: RNAcentral